RNAcentral lists this long non-coding RNA (290 nucleotides) under Elaeis guineensis (African oil palm). Its description in RNAcentral is "long non-coding RNA (EGUI_LNC026370)". The record is from RNAcentral. Lineage: Eukaryota; Viridiplantae; Streptophyta; Magnoliopsida; Arecales; Arecaceae.
CGGAGGUGAUCGGCCAAGUCCCUCUUCUUCUCUAUCUUCUCCCUCUUAAUGUCCUGCUUCAAGCUUUCGAUGCUUUUUUUCAGGCAUCUUUGACAUUGACCUCAAGCUAAGACUUCUCCUCUUCAGCCUCAUUAGUCUUCUUGGAGACAGUCUUUGACUCAUCCUCAGCCGCCUUGCAUUCCUCUUUGGCCUUUUUUAACUUCUCUUCUAGAGUAGCCUUAGCUCGAUCAUGUUUGGCUCAAGCUUUUCAUAUGAAGACAAGUAAAUUUAUCAUCUACACGAAGAGCGCA